Patella vulgata (common limpet) is the source of this 615-nucleotide long non-coding RNA. RefSeq lists it as uncharacterized. The record is from RefSeq and is a predicted model, not a curated record. Lineage: Eukaryota; Metazoa; Mollusca; Gastropoda; Patellidae. The transcript has 4 exons.
UCGAGGUAGUAGUAAAGUCAGGACCAGCAUUUGUACAUUGUGUAAUCAAUGCUGUGAUAAAGGUCGAGCAUGUCCGUGGUCAGGAAUAGUUGGAGACACACCAUCCCUGUGUAACUGUCAGACCAAUAUAUAUGGUUGUCAGGAUUGCGGAAUCUGUAAAACUUGUGCCAAUGAUUUAUGGACAUUGAAAUCUGUUUUACGGCCAUGUUGUGAUGUCACUGUAUAUGGAUCAAAAGACAAGGGACAUAACUCUGUCUUUCCUUUAAAUGGUCAGACAUAUAAUGAGUUUACAUGUGUUGCUCUGACCAGUAAUGUACCUGUUUGUCUUAAACUGUUCGGUGAUACAUCAGAACAAGUUGUACAGGUUUAUCCAGGACCUGCUGUGGAGAUUGAAAAUCAGCAAGAUCUGGAGAAGUAUAAUCAAAAUGCUGAUAAUUUUAAAUCUUUGAUGUUUGACCCUGGUGAUGAGUUAAAUAUCACACUUCAUGCGGUUCAGCAAUUACCAGGUUCAGUGGAGCUAGAAACAGAAACCAAAUCUCUUGAAAUUAAACCAGUUUAUUGGAGUAUCAUAAAUAGAGAAGUUCGAAUAUGUCAUGAGACUGGUAUACUAUGGUA